RNAcentral lists this small nucleolar RNA (125 nucleotides) under Echinops telfairi (small Madagascar hedgehog). RNAcentral describes it as "Small nucleolar RNA SNORA61 (ENSETEG00000025173.1)". The record is from RNAcentral. Lineage: Eukaryota; Metazoa; Chordata; Mammalia; Afrosoricida; Tenrecidae.
ACCCUCCAGUUUCCUGACCCCUCCUGUCUAAAUUUUCAUCUCAGUGGCGGGAAUAGGAGGAAAAGUAAAAGCGAAGUGGGCUUGGAGUCUUUCAUGACUGACAUACAAGUUCAUUUCAAAUAUAU